GGCGGGGUGGCAGAGUGACUAUGCCACAGUGUGCAAAGCUGUGUAGGCCGGUUUAAAUCCGCGCCCCCGCCUCCA
RNAcentral lists this transfer RNA (75 nucleotides) under Snodgrassella sp. R-53583. RNAcentral's name for it is "tRNA_Pseudo_GCA". RNAcentral also lists the same sequence under 3 other names. The record is from RNAcentral. Lineage: Bacteria; Pseudomonadati; Pseudomonadota; Betaproteobacteria; Neisseriales; Neisseriaceae.